AGUGAACGCUGGCGGCGUGCCUAAUACAUGCAAGUCGAACGGAGUGGCGCACGGGUGGGUAAUGUAUAGCUUAUCUGCCCUACACUAGAGGACAACAGUUGUAAACGGCUGCUAAUACUCUAUAGUGUAGGAUGAGGCGAUAUUGUAUCAGCUAGUUGGUGAGGUAAUGGCUCACCAAGGCGAUGACGCAUAACUGGUCUGAGAGGAUGAUCAGUGACACUGGAACUGAGACACGGUCCAGACUCCAACGGCAGGCAUGUGUAGGGAGCAUGGCUCAAUGGGGGCAACCCUGAAGUAGCCCCGCGGCGUGUAAACUGACACUUAUCGGAGCGUAGACUCCUUUUUUUAGCGAUGCGGUGGCUAGCGAAUAAGCACCGGCUCAGUACGUGCUAUCUGCCGCGGUAAUUC
RNAcentral lists this ribosomal RNA (408 nucleotides) under uncultured bacterium. RNAcentral's name for it is "partial 16S ribosomal RNA". It matches the Rfam family "Bacterial small subunit ribosomal RNA", at positions 29 to 526 of the family's 1533-position model. The record is from RNAcentral.